GACGAACGCUGGCGGCGUGCUUAACACAUGCAAGUCGAACGGAAAGGCCCUGCUUUUGUGGGGUGCUCGAGUGGCGAACGGGUGAGUAACACGUGAGUAACCUGCCCUCGACUUUGGGAUAACUUCAGGAAACUGGGGUUAAUACCGUAUAGGAGCUCCUGCCGCAUGGUGGGGGUUGGAAAGUUUCGGCGGUUGAGGAUGGACUAGCGGCUUAUCAGCCUGUUGGUGGGGUAGUGGCAUACCAAGGAUUCGACGGGAAGCAAGCCUGAGAGGGUGAACGGCCACAAUGGGCCUGAAAUACGGCACAGACUACUACGGGAGGCAGAAGUGGAGAAUAUUGCACAAUAGGCGGAGGCCUGAUGCAGCAACGCCGCGUGCGGGAUAGCGGCCUUCGGGUUGUAAUCCGCUUUCGCCUGUGACGAAGCGUGAGUGACGGUAAUGGGUAAAGAAGCACCGGCUAACUCCGUG
Molecule: ribosomal RNA, 468 nt
Filed under: uncultured bacterium
Lineage: Bacteria
Description: partial 16S ribosomal RNA
Rfam family: Bacterial small subunit ribosomal RNA
Source: RNAcentral